This 1370-nucleotide ribosomal RNA is filed under the name metagenome. RNAcentral's name for it is "bacterial SSU rRNA". The stretch from base 2 to 683 matches the Rfam family "Eukaryotic small subunit ribosomal RNA", at positions 4 to 1116 of the family's 1831-position model. The record is from RNAcentral.
UCUGGUUGAUCCUGCCAGUAGUCAUAUGCUUGUCUCAAAGAUUAAGCCAUGCAUGUCUAAGUAUAAAUAGUAUACAGUGUAACUGCAAAUGGCUCAUUAAAACAGUUAUAGUUUAUUUGAUAAUUGAAGGCUACAUGGAUAACCGUGGUAAUUCUAGAGCUAAUACAUGCUAUCAGGCCCAACUUCGUAGAAGGGUUGUAUUUAUUAGAUAUAAGCCAAUAUUCCUUCGGGUCUAUUGCGGUGAUUCACAAUAACUGAUCGAAUCUCUUUUAGAGAUAAAUCAUUCGAGUUUCUGCCCUAUCAGCUUUCGAUGCUUAGGUAUUGACUAAAGCAUGGCUUUAACGGGUAACGGAGAUUCAGGGUUCGAUUCCGGAGAGGGAGCCUGAGAAACGGCUACCACAUCUAAGGAAGGCAGCAGGCGCGUAAAUUACCCAAUCCUGAUUAAGGGAGGUAGUGACAAGAAAUAACAAACAGGGGAUUUUUCAAAUCUUACUGUAUUGCAAUGAGGAAAAUUUAAAAACCUUAUCGAGAAACAAGUGGAGGGCAAGUCUGGUGCCAGCAGCCGCGGUAAUUCCAGCUCCACUAGCGUAUAUUAAAAUUGUUGCAGUUAAAAAGCUCGUAGUUGAACCUCUGACUGUGUCUAGUUCUGGUUUUCAAUCAAGCUAGGUGCAGUCAUCCAUCUGCAGGUUCACCUACAGAUACCUUGUUACGACUUCUUCUUCUUCCAAAUGCAUUGGUUUACAUAACUUCCCGGCUUAGGUCAAGCCUAGCACAGUCCAGAAGGUUCACCGGAGCAUUCGUCAGUAGAAGCGACGGGCGGUGUGUACAAAAGGCAGGGACCGAUUCAGUACAAGCUGAUGACUUGCACUUACAAGGUAUUCCUCGUUCAAGAUCUAUAAUUGCAAAGAUCUAUCCCUAUCACGAUGCAUAUUCUCAAGAUUACCCGAAACCUUUUCAGGCCAGGAAAACUUUCUGAAUGCAUCAUUGUAGAACGCGUGCGGCCCAGGAUGUCUAGGGGCAUCACAGACCUGUUAUUGCCACCAACUUCCUUGGAAUUGAAAUUCCAAAGUCCCUCUAAGAAGAGCACGCGAUUGACAUCACGUGUCUAGUAAGCAGGUAAUGGUCUCGUCGCGUUAUCGCAAUUAAGCAGACAAAUCACUCCACGAACUAAGAACGGCCAUGCACCACCACCCAUUGAAUCAAGAAAGAGCUCUCAAUCUGUCAAUCCCACUAAUGUUUUAACCUGGUAAGUUUCCCCGUGUUGUGUCAAAUUAAGCCGCAGGCUCCACACCUUGUGUGCCCUUCCGUCAAUUCCUUUAAGUUUCAGUCUUGCGACCAUACUCCCCCCGGAACCGUAACUUUGAUUUCUC